UGAGAGCUUGAAGACAAGAAACACCUAAAGUUGUUCAACUAGGUACGCAAAUUUCGAGGACGAAAUUUUUUUAAGGGGGAGAGGAUGUAACACCCAGCAUUUUCACUAAAGUAUAUAUAUUAUUAAUAUUAUUUUAGAAGCCUGUAAGUUGAAAGAGAUGGACUAACUUUCAAUAUUUAUGAAAAAGCCCAACAAUAGUAAAUGGGCCAAGAGUUUUAUAAAAAAUAAAAGAGCCCAACAGUGGUUAUUUGGGCCAAUGGUUUGUUAGUAUGUGGAUUAAUCGAACCUUAGCUGAUUAGUUAUUAGCCUUUAAUUAGGUUAUUAGGUUUACUAAUCCUAAUUAAGUAUUCAGCCACCACGUAGUAUAUCACUUUUUACGCAGCUGCUGCUGCUAUUGUUAAACCGACUUGAAACAAAUAUAUAUAUAUUCCCUCAAUCCCUACCGAAACCAAUUCUCCAGUCUGCCAAAUCACAUACGCCGCCCAUUAUCAUCCCCAACAAUCUUUCACAAGCAAUUCGAUUGACAAGCAGGUUAAGCUGUGAUGCAGAUGGAUGUCAGCAGAGCAAAGCUUUUGAUAUAUAAGUACUAAAUUAGGCUCAGGAUUCCAUGUCUUCAUACAUGUAAUCCACUUAAGCUAUUCCGCUGCAACGCUUAGUGCGUUUUACUUUAUUGAUGUGUUGCAAAGAUUUCAAACUAAUAGCUUACAGAAUUAUGUCACCUGAUACUUAGACAACUUGUCGUUAUGUAUUGCGAGUUGUCUGCUUUUGAGUUUUAGAAAAGAUUGUUUAUGAUUACCAAAUAUUUUGGUAAAUUAUUGUUUAAGCAGGUUAGUGAUUUUUAUUGAGAUCUA
Molecule: long non-coding RNA, 851 nt
Organism: Salvia miltiorrhiza (redroot sage)
Lineage: Eukaryota; Viridiplantae; Streptophyta; Magnoliopsida; Lamiales; Lamiaceae
Exons: 2
Source: RefSeq, a predicted model, not a curated record